This is a long non-coding RNA of Chroicocephalus ridibundus (black-headed gull), 962 nucleotides long. RefSeq lists it as uncharacterized. The record is from RefSeq and is a predicted model, not a curated record. The transcript is spliced from 2 exons. NCBI's taxonomy places the organism in Eukaryota, Metazoa, Chordata, Aves, Charadriiformes, Laridae.
GAGGAUUUCCUGGGACUUUGUGGGGGGUAAGAGCUUUGCCAUUGUAGGGGUUAUUACCAGUCUCAGGAAUAUCUGGAGCAGGUGAGGUGCCAGGAGUUCCUUGGAGGCUGGAAGUACUAAAGAAGUGGCAUAAUCCUGUAAAAUGGGGGAGAUUGAAGAGGGAGGUUUCAACGAAUGAUGAUCUGGAAACAAAAAUGUGGAUGUUUAAAAACUGGAAAAUGUUGUAAAAUCCAAAAGGGAUGAAUGAACCUAAGCCAGCUGUUUAAUUUUCUGGUUUAGAUACACAUCUGUUUCCUCUCAGAUCACAGGUGUCCCGCUUCCACAUCCAUCUUAACGUAAUGUAGCAAAGGUUGUUGUAAAAAUAUGUCAAAGGGAUGAAGACUUCAGUCAUUUGCUUACGCUAAUAUGAUUUCUCUACUCAUUUCUUCAAAGCUUAUUAACGUCUAAACACUAGAAAGGGGUACGGGGAAUGUUUGUGGGCAAGAUCCUCCCUGCUGCUUCCCUCCAGUUGUGCAUUUCUUGUGUCCUUCUCAGUGUCAGACCACCCGUAUUUCAAAUUAUGAUUUGUUUGGAAGUGUGAAGCCUGCAUACGUAAUGACGCUUGUGCAGGUGUGUAUAUAGAUGUCUCUCUGUAUUUGUGUAUAUAGAUGUCUCUCUGUAUUUAUAACCAUUGAGUAUAAACGAGAAAGUUUGCUGCAGAGUUCUCUCCCCCUUGCUGGCUGCCAUCCUGAGCACUCCUUGCCCCGGUGCCGGAGCCCUGAGCCCUUCCCUUCCUCCGGACGCCGCAGCACUCGCAGGGUCCCACAUUGGCUGUCCCUGCUGGGAGAGCACGGCUUCUGCUGAUGGGAUGGGCUGGGAAUAGUCCUUGUGCAUUUUCUAUUGGUAUCGGGAUCAAUACUGGUUCUUUAGUGUUCUCAAUGUUAAUUGUCUAGUCUUAUUCUAUUAAACCUGUUUGAAUUUCA